This 589-nucleotide non-coding RNA is filed under the name Brassica napus (rape). RNAcentral's name for it is "Eukaryotic small subunit ribosomal RNA". It matches the Rfam family "Eukaryotic small subunit ribosomal RNA", at positions 651 to 1165 of the family's 1831-position model. Lineage: Eukaryota; Viridiplantae; Streptophyta; Magnoliopsida; Brassicales; Brassicaceae. The record is from Rfam by way of RNAcentral.
AAUAAAGCGAAUGUUUUGUGCAAAUGCCUUGUUGUUCUGAUAUUAGCUUGUCGGAGCUAACACAAGGUCACAUUGGAGUACGGGUUGAUAAGCCUUAGGCUUUGGUCUGACGGGACGUGUUAAUGGGCGGCCUGGCCUAGUUACGAAUUGCACUUUUUAUAACUUUGGCUGGAUUGCCCGUUAACCCGUCUUGUAGCGCUCCUGAACCUUGGUAAACGGUCGGGCCGUCGGUCAUGUUCUUGUUUGAUUGUUGGCCGGUGGUUCGACCUAUGCCUAGAACGGUUCGGGGGUGUUACAGCCAGAGGCAUUCGUAUUUCAUAGUCAGAGGUGAAAUUCUUGGAUUUAUAAAAGACGAACAACUGCGAAAGCAUUUGCCAAGGAUGUUUUCAUUAAUCAAGAAGGAAAGUUGGGGGCUCGAAGACGAUCAGAUACUGUCCUAGUCUCAACCAUAAACGAUGCCGACCUGGGAUCAGCGGAUGUUGCUUUUAGGACUCCGGUGGCACCUUAUGAGAAAUCAAAGUUUUUGGGGUUCCGGGGGGGGGGGGAGUUUGGUCGCAAGGCUGAAAAUUAAAGGAAUUGACGGAAGGAC